This 445-nucleotide ribosomal RNA is filed under the name uncultured bacterium. Its description in RNAcentral is "SSU rRNA". It matches the Rfam family "Bacterial small subunit ribosomal RNA", at positions 26 to 518 of the family's 1533-position model. The record is from RNAcentral.
AGAGCGAACGCUGGCGGCAGGCCUAAUACAUGCAAGUCGAACGGAUCCUUCGGGAUUAGUGGCGGACGGGUGAGUAACACGUGGGAACGUGCCCUUUGGUUCGGAACAACUCAGGGAAACUUGAGCUAAUACCGAAUGUGCCCUUCGGGGGAAAGAUUUAUCGCCAUUGGAGCGGCCCGCGUCUGAUUAGCUAGUUGGUGAGGUAAAGGCUCACCAAGGCGACGAUCAGUAGCUGGUCUGAGAGGAUGAUCAGCCACACUGGGACUGAGACACGGCCCAGACUCCUACGGGAGGCAGCAGUAGGGAAUCUUGCGCAAUGGGCGAAAGCCUGACGCAGCCAUGCCGCGUGAAUGAUGAAGGUCUUAGGAUUGUAAAAUUCUUUCAGCGGGGACGAUAAUGACGGUACCCGCAGAAGAAGCCCGGCUAACUUCGCGCCAGCAGCCGC